Molecule: transfer RNA, 73 nt
Filed under: Candidatus Peribacteria bacterium
Lineage: Bacteria; Candidatus Peregrinibacteriota; Candidatus Peribacteria
Description: tRNA-Asn
Rfam family: tRNA
About the family: Transfer RNA (tRNA) molecules are approximately 80 nucleotides in length.
Source: RNAcentral
UCCGAGGUAGCUCAGUCGGUAGAGCAAGUGACUGUUAAUCACUGGGUCGUGGGUUCGAGUCCCACCCUCGGAG